GUACACGUGGGAACGUGCCUUUUGGUUCGGAACAACUCAGGGAAACUUGAGCUAAUACCGAAUGUGCCCUUCGGGGGAAAGAUUUAUCGCCAUUAGAGCGGCCCGCGUCUGAUUAGCUAGUUGGUAGGGUAAAGGCCUACCAAGGCUACGAUCAGUAGCUGGUCUGAGAGGAUGAUCAGCCACACUGGGACUGAGACACGGCCCAGACUCCUACGGGAGGCAGCAGUUAGGUAUCUUGCGCAAUGGGCGAAAGCCUGACGCAGCCAUGCCGCGUGAAUGAUGAAGGUCUUAGGAUUGUAAAAUUCUUUCAGCGGGGACGAUAUGACGGUACCCGCAGAAGAAGCUCCGGCUAACUUCGUGCCAGCAGCCGCGGUAAUACGAAGGGGGCUAGCGUUGCUCGGAAUUAUUGGGCGUAAAGGGUGCGUAGGCGGUUUGAUAAGUCACAUGUGAAAUCUUCGGGCUCAAACCCGAAGUCUGCAUGCGAAACUGUCGGGCUUGAGUAUGGGAGAGGU
This 512-nucleotide ribosomal RNA is filed under the name uncultured bacterium. Its description in RNAcentral is "bacterial SSU rRNA". It matches the Rfam family "Bacterial small subunit ribosomal RNA", at positions 111 to 658 of the family's 1533-position model. The record is from RNAcentral.